Molecule: long non-coding RNA, 1029 nt
Organism: Cyprinus carpio (common carp)
Lineage: Eukaryota; Metazoa; Chordata; Actinopteri; Cypriniformes; Cyprinidae
Source: Ensembl
AUGAUUGUGUGUUUGUUUCAACAGGAUAUGAAAGGAUUAUUGUGUGAGUCAGUGUAUAAGCCUGAUAGCGCUUGUUUGUGUGUGUGUGUGUGUAAGCCUGUGUUGAUUCACAUGGGGACAUUAUUCUUCUGUUAUUAUGCACACGUGAAGCUGAUUAGUACACACUGUCACUGUGCAACCGAGGAACAAUACGUAUAUAGUUCAGAUCAGCGCAGAGACACUACCAGAAACUACAGAAUGUGUAGCCUGGAUGAGGUUCCAUUUAAUAUCUCUCUGUUGGGUCAGAAAGAGCCGGUCACAGCUCCUGAACUUAAGAUCCCAGACUGUGUUCAAAUACUGCGUGAUACAAAGUAUUCAUUCACUCUGGAGAAAAAGAUCAUGGCUGCAUGGGAAGAACAGCAGUGGAAGAACAGGAAAGCCAAAAAGACACCACGGAGUGUGUGUCCCACCUGCCCGCCAUAUUGGCUGAUGUUCAGUAACCCACAGCAGAGCCGCAGGGUGCACCUCAGAAGUGCAGAAUUAUGGGAACUGGGCCCACGCCCCCGCAGUUUAAGCCUCAGUGCUGCUGACUCACAUAAGCUCCGCCCACUACGGGCGGUCCAGUUCCUCAUCGCCGACAUGGACUACGAGGGCGGCUACAGCGAAGACAACGAGAGCUCGUCUGAGGAUGAUGCUGUUCGUAGAAAAGAAAGACCGAAGAGUUCUGGUCCACAGUGCCCAUGGAUUUCUGCACAUCACACCCAGCGAGGCUCCACCCCUCGCCCAGUCCCUUCCGGCACUCUCCACAAGGCCCGACCAAGCUCCGCCUCCUCUGUUAAAGACAUACAUAAGCCUGUCCCCCCUGCCCUCAGCCAGACACCGCAGGGCAGCCCUCACGGCUCCAGAGCCCCCCGCAAGAAGCCCAGCAUAACAAGAACCAGCGGGCGACGGAACUCACACACCCUCCUACAGCCGAGACCCUCAUCCGCAGGACCGCUGCCCUCCGCCAGGACUCAGAAACACUCUUCAAAUGUAACACACACACCGUAG